This 772-nucleotide ribosomal RNA is filed under the name uncultured bacterium. Its description in RNAcentral is "bacterial SSU rRNA". It matches the Rfam family "Bacterial small subunit ribosomal RNA", at positions 28 to 794 of the family's 1533-position model. The record is from RNAcentral.
AUUGAACGCUGGCGGCAUGCCUUACACAUGCAAGUCGAACGGCAGCGCGGGGCAACCUGGCGGCGAGUGGCGAACGGGUGAGUAAUAUAUCGGAACGUACCCUGGAGUGGGGGAUAACGUAGCGAAAGUUACGCUAAUACCGCAUACGAUCUAAGGAUGAAAGUGGGGGCAUCGCAAGACCUCAUGCUCCUGGAGCGGCCGAUAUCUGAUUAGCUAGUUGGUGGGGUAAAGGCCUACCAAGGCAUCGAUCAGUAGCUGGUCUGAGAGGACGACCAGCCACACUGGAACUGAGACACGGUCCAGACUCCUACGGGAGGCAGCAGUGGGGAAUUUUGGACAAUGGGCGCAAGCCUGAUCCAGCAAUGCCGCGUGAGUGAAGAAGGCCUCGGGUUGUAAAGCUCUUUUGUCAGGGAAAGAAAACGGUGAGGGCUAAUAUCCCUUGCUAAUGACGGUACCUGAAGAAUAAGCACCGGCUAACUACGUGCCAGCAGCCGCGGUAAUACGUAGGGUGCAAGCGUUAAUCGGAAUUACUGGGCGUAAAGCGUGCGCAGGCGGUUUUGUAAGUCUGUCGUGAAAUCCCCGGGCUCAACCUGGGGAAUUGCGAUGGAGACUGCAAGGCUAGAAUCUGGCAGAGGGGGGUAGAAUUCCACGUGUAGCAGUGAAAAUGCGUAGAGAUGUGGAGGAACACCGAUGGCGAAGGCAGCCCCUGGGUCAAGAUUGACGCUCAUGCACGAAAGCGUGGGGAGCAAACAGGAUUAGAUACCCUGGUAGU